GACGAACGCUGGCGGCGUGCUUAACACAUGCAAGUCGAACGGAAAGGCCCUGCUUUUGUGGGGUGCUCGAGUGGCGAACGGGUGAGUAACACGUGAGUAACCUGCCCUUGACUUUGGGAUAACUUCAGGAAACUGGGGCUAAUACCGGAUAGGAGCUCCUGCUGCAUGGUGGGGGUUGGAAAGUUUCGGCGGUUGGGGAUGGACUCGCGGCUUAUCAGCUUGUUGGUGGGGUAGUGGCUUACCAAGGCUUUGACGGGUAGCCGGCCUGAGAGGGUGACCGGCCACAUUGGGACUGAGAUACGGCCCAGACUCCUACGGGAGGCAGCAGUGGGGAAUAUUGCACAAUGGGCGGAAGCCUGAUGCAGCAACGCCGCGUGCGGGAUGACGGCCUUCGGGUUGUAAACCGCUUUCGCCUGUGACGAAGCGUGAGUGACGGUAAUGGGUAAAGAAGCACCGGCUAACUACGUGCCAGCAGCCGCGGUGAUACGUAGGGUGCGAGCGUUGUCCGGAUUUAUUGGGCGUAAAGGGCUCGUAGGUGGUUGAUCGCGUCGGAAGUGUAAUCUUGGGGCUUUUCCUGAGCGUGCUUUCGAUACGGGUUGACUUGAGGAAGGUAGGGGAGAAUGGAAUUCCUGGUGGAGCGGUGGAAUGCGCAGAUAUCAGGAGGAACACCAGUGGCGAAGGCGGUUCUCUGGGCCUUUCCUGACGCUGAGGAGCGAAAGCGUGGGGAGCGAACAGGCUUAGAUACCCUGGUAGUCCACGCUGUAAACGGUGGGUACUAGGUGUGGGGUCCAUUCCACGGGUUCCGUGCCGUAGCUAACGCUUUAAGUACCCCGCCUGGGGAGUACGGCCGCAAGGCUAAAACUCAAAGGAAUUGACGGGGCCCCGCACAAGCGGCGGAGCAUGCGGAUUAAUUCGAUGCAACGCGUAGAACCUUACCUGGGUUUGACAUGGAUCGGAAGCGCUCAGAGAUGGGUGUGCCUCUUUUGGGGUCGGUUCACAGGUGGUGCAUGGCUGUCGUCAGCUCGUGUCGUGAGAUGUUGGGUUAAGUCCCGCAACGAGCGCAACCCUUGUUCACUGUUGCCAGCACGUUAUGGUGGGGACUCAGUGGAGACCGCCGGGGUCAACUCGGAGGAAGGUGGGGAUGACGUCAAGUCAUCAUGCCCCUUAUGUCCAGGGCUUCACGCAUGCUACAAUGGCUGGUACAGAGAGUGGCGAGCCUGUGAGGGUGAGCGAAUCUCGGAAAGCCGGUCUCAGUUCGGAUUGGGGUCUGCAACUCGACCUCAUGAAGUCGGAGUCGCUAGUAAUCGCAGAUCAGCAACGCUGCGGUGAAUACGUUCCCGGG
This 1342-nucleotide ribosomal RNA is filed under the name uncultured bacterium. RNAcentral describes it as "16S ribosomal RNA". It matches the Rfam family "Bacterial small subunit ribosomal RNA", at positions 28 to 1378 of the family's 1533-position model. The record is from RNAcentral.